CCGAUGCGCUAACUGCAGUCGAGCGACGGAUAGGAGCUUGCUCCUUUGAAGUUAGCGGCGGACGGGUGAGUAACACGUGGGUAACCUACCUAUAAGACUGGAAUAACUUCGGGAAACCGGAGCUAAUGCCGGAUAACAUUUGGAACCGCAUGGUUCUAAAGUAAAAGAUGGUUUUGCUAUCACUUAUAGAUGGACCCGCGCCGUAUUAGCUAGUUGGUAAGGUAACGGCUUACCAAGGCAACGAUACGUAGCCGACCUGAGAGGGUGAUCGGCCACACUGGAACUGAGACACGGUCCAGACUCCUACGGGAGGCAGCAGUAGGGAAUCUUCCGCAAUGGACGAAAGUCUGACGGAGCAACGCCGCGUGAGUGAUGAAGGUUUUCGGAUCGUAAAACUCUGUUAUUAGGGAAGAACAAAUGUGUAAGUAACUGUGCACAUCUUGACGGUACCUAAUCAGAAAGCCACGGCUAACUACGUGCCAGCAGCCGCGGUAAUACGUAGGUGGCAAGCGUUAUCCGGAAUUAUUGGGCGUAAAGCGCGCGUAGGCGGUUUCUUAAGUCUGAUGUGAAAGCCCACGGCUCAACCGUGGAGGGUCAUUGGAAACUGGGAAACUUGAGUACAGAAGAGGAAAGUGGAAUUCCAUGUGUAGCGGUGAAAUGCGCAGAGAUAUGGAGGAACACCAGUGGCGAAGGCGACUUUCUGGUCUGUAACUGACGCUGAUGUGCGAAAGCGUGGGGAUCAAACAGGAUUAGAUACCCUGGUAGUCCACGCCGUANACGAUGAGUGCUAAGUGUUAGGGGGUUUCCCGCCCCUUAGUGCUGCAGCUAACGCAUUAA
RNAcentral lists this ribosomal RNA (837 nucleotides) under bacterium C-TJ31. Its description in RNAcentral is "bacterial SSU rRNA". It matches the Rfam family "Bacterial small subunit ribosomal RNA", at positions 42 to 863 of the family's 1533-position model. The record is from RNAcentral.